GGGCCCCGCACAAGCAGCGGAGCGUGUGGUUUAAUUCGAUGUUACACGAAGAACCUUACCAGGGUUUGACAUGCAAGUGGUAGGAAGCCGAAAGGUGACCGACCCUUCGGGGAGCUUUGCACAGGUGCUGCAUGGCUGUCGUCAGCUCGUGUCGUGAGAUGUUCGGUUAAGUCCGCUAACGAGCGCAACCCUCGCUGUGUGUUAUAUGUGUCACACGGGACCGCCGGUCUUAAGCCGGAGGAAGGUGGGGAUGACGUCAAGUCAGCAUGGCCUUUAUAUCCUGGGCUACACACACGCUACAAUGGCCAACACAAUAGGUUGCUAAGCCGCGAGGUGGAGCCAAUCCAUAAAGUUGGUCUCAGUUCAGAUUGUAGGCUGCAACCCGCCUGCAUGAAGAUGGAGUUGCUAGUAACCGCAGGUCAGCUAUACUGCGGUGAAUACGUUCCCGGGGCUU
Molecule: ribosomal RNA, 454 nt
Filed under: uncultured Leptolinea sp.
Lineage: Bacteria; Bacillati; Chloroflexota; Anaerolineae; Anaerolineales; Anaerolineaceae
Description: bacterial SSU rRNA
Rfam family: Bacterial small subunit ribosomal RNA
Source: RNAcentral